RNAcentral lists this long non-coding RNA (298 nucleotides) under Rattus norvegicus (Norway rat). RNAcentral's name for it is "long non-coding RNA NONRATT003003". Lineage: Eukaryota; Metazoa; Chordata; Mammalia; Rodentia; Muridae. The record is from RNAcentral.
AGGUAGAGGUUUGUUUUGUCCUUACUGGUUUCUGUUUUCCUGUAGGUGGAUUGCUCAGGCUAUGAACUAGAGCACUUACAUACCAAAGUGACUUCACUGUGUAACCGGAUAGAGCAGAUUCCGUGCUACAAUGCCAAGGAUCGCCUGGCUCAGUCAGAUAUGGCCAAGCGGGUAGCCAACUUACUGCGGGUAGUUCUGAGCCUUCAGCACACUCCUGACGCCACCUCCAACUCCACUCCGGACCCUCAGCGAGUCCCUUUGCGUCUUUUGGCUCCCCACAUUGGCAGGCUCCCUAUGC